AUGAGACGGGUGCUGAAAGCUGAGUUGGACUGGUCCCUGGAGUUAGAAGGGCAUUAUUUUGUUCAAGUAAUUUAGCAAAAGCUGAACCAGUAUCUAAAAGCUGCUUGUCUGGGAGAAAAUCUGCACAGACACUGAUGAGGAAAUGGAAAUUCCAGGCACACAGAGCCAGGGCCACCAGGCGCACCAGGGCCACCUGGGCCACCAGGACCACAAGAGGCAUCAGGGCCACCGGGGCCACCGGGGCCACCAGGGGCAGGAGUCAAACCCCAGAUCUGGAGAUAUUCUGAGUAGGGUUGGGGAGAGACCAGAAGCCAGUCCCAGGCUACACUGUGUUCCAGACAGGAAUACACCCUGACUCUGUGAAGAAUAUCCUGUUAAAUGAAGACAAGAAGGAUGCCAUAACAUUCAAUAAUUAAGGGAAAGAGAAAAUGCACAUUUUUGGGAAAGAAAACCUGACUCUUAAUGGGAAGAUAAAAGCAUUUUCAUGACUCAACAACUUUUCCUUCUGAUAACAAUCAAAACUUCCCCAAGCU
Brienomyrus brachyistius is the source of this 533-nucleotide long non-coding RNA. RefSeq lists it as uncharacterized. The transcript has 3 exons. Lineage: Eukaryota; Metazoa; Chordata; Actinopteri; Osteoglossiformes; Mormyridae. The record is from RefSeq and is a predicted model, not a curated record.